This 433-nucleotide ribosomal RNA is filed under the name uncultured bacterium. Its description in RNAcentral is "partial 16S ribosomal RNA". It matches the Rfam family "Bacterial small subunit ribosomal RNA", at positions 29 to 507 of the family's 1533-position model. The record is from RNAcentral.
AACGAACGCUGGCGGCAUGCCUAACACAUGCAAGUCGAACGAGCACUUCGGGGUUUGAGCCGCAGGCGUGUGUAUAGCGUGGGAAAAUGCCCUCACGUUUGCAAUAACUCCCAGAGAAAGUUGCUAUUAUCGCUUAUUGUCCCCGUUCCAAAAAUUGUUGGCCCCUGGAUGGGCCCGCGUUGCUUUAGCUAGUUGGUAGGGUAAAAGCCUACCAAGGCGACGAUCCCUAGCUGGUCUGAGAGGAUGAUCAGCCACACUGGGACUGAGACACGGCCCAGACUCCUACGGGAGGCAGCAGUGGGGAAUAUUGGACAAUGGGCGAAAGCCUGAUCCAGCAAUGCCGCGUGAGUGAUGAAGGCCUUAGGGUUGUAAAGCUCUUUUACCCGGGAUGAUAAUGACGGUACCGGAAGAAUAAGCUCCGGCUAACUCCGUG